Molecule: ribosomal RNA, 447 nt
Filed under: uncultured bacterium
Lineage: Bacteria
Description: bacterial SSU rRNA
Rfam family: Bacterial small subunit ribosomal RNA
Source: RNAcentral
GGCCAGACUCCUACGGGAGGCAGCAGUGGGGAAUAUUGCACAAUGGGGGAAACCCUGAUGCAGCGACGCCGCGUGAGCGAUGAAGUAUUUCGGUAUGUAAAGCUCUAUCAGCAGGGAAGAAAAUGACGGUACCUGACUAAGAAGCCCCGGCUAACUACGUGCCAGCAGCCGCGGUAAUACGUAGGGGGCAAGCGUUAUCCGGAUUUACUGGGUGUAAAGGGAGCGUAGACGGUGAAGCAAGUCUGAAGUGAAAGGCGGGGGCUCAACCCCCGGACUGCUUUGGAAACUGUUUGACUGGAGUGCAGGAGAGGUAAGUGGAAUUCCUAGUGUAGCGGUGAAAUGCGUAGAUAUUAGGAGGAACACCAGUGGCGAAGGCGGCUUACUGGACUGUAACUGACGUUGAGGCUCGAAAGCGUGGGGAGCAAACAGGAUUAGAUACCCCUGUAA